This 503-nucleotide ribosomal RNA is filed under the name uncultured bacterium. RNAcentral describes it as "partial 16S ribosomal RNA". It matches the Rfam family "Bacterial small subunit ribosomal RNA", at positions 899 to 1397 of the family's 1533-position model. The record is from RNAcentral.
ACUCAAAGGAAUUGACGGGGGCCCGCACAAGCGGUGGAGUAUGUGGUUUAAUUCGACGCAACGCGAAGAACCUUACCCAGCCUUGACAUCCUCGGAACCUGAUGGAAACAUCGGGGUGCCUUCGCAAGAAGGAGCCGGGAGACAGGUGCUGCAUGGCUGUCGUCAGCUCGUGUCGUGAGAUGUUCGGUUAAGUCCGGCAACGAGCGCAACCCUUGCUUCCAGUUGCCAUCAUUCAGUUGGGAACUCUGGAGGAACUGCCGGCGCCAAGCCGGAGGAAGGUGGGGACGACGUCAAGUCAUCAUGGCCUUUAUGGCUGGGGCUACACACGUACUACAAUGGCGAAUACAAAGGGCCGCGAAGCCGCGAGGUGAAGCAAAUCCCAAAAAAAUCGCCUCAGUUCGGAUUGCAGUCUGCAACUCGACUGCAUGAAGUUGGAAUCGCUAGUAAUCGCGGAUCAGCACGCCGCGGUGAAUACGUUCCCGGGCCUUGUACACACCGCCCGU